GACGAACGCUGGCGGCGUGCUUAACACAUGCAAGUCGAACGGAAAGGCCCUGCUUUUGUGGGGUGCUCGAGUGGCGAACGGGUGAGUAACACGUGUGUAACCUGCCCUUGACUUUGGGAUAACUUCAGGAAACUGGGGCUAAUACCGGAUAGGAGCUCCUGCUGCAUGGUGGGGGUUGGAAAGUUUCGGCGGUUGGGGAUGGACUCGCGGCUUAUCAGCUUGUUGGUGGGGUAGUGGCUUACCAAGGCUUUGACGGGUAGCCGGCCUGAGAGGGUGACCGGCCACAUUGGGACUGAGAUACGGCCCAGACGCCUACGGGAGGCAGCAGUGGGGAAUAUUGCACAAUGGGCGGAAGCCUGAUGCAGCAACGCCGCGUGCGGGAUGACGGCCUUCGGGUUGUAAACCGCUUUCGCCUGUGACGAAGCGUGAGUGACGGUAAUGGGUAAAGAAGCACCGGCUAACUACGUG
Molecule: ribosomal RNA, 468 nt
Filed under: uncultured bacterium
Lineage: Bacteria
Description: partial 16S ribosomal RNA
Rfam family: Bacterial small subunit ribosomal RNA
Source: RNAcentral